Long non-coding RNA from Amphiprion ocellaris (clown anemonefish), 1577 nucleotides. RefSeq lists it as uncharacterized. NCBI's taxonomy places the organism in Eukaryota, Metazoa, Chordata, Actinopteri, Pomacentridae. The record is from RefSeq and is a predicted model, not a curated record. The transcript has 2 exons.
AGCUAACGUAGCAUCAAGCUAAUGUGUUGAGUUUCAUGUAAACAGCUGGUGCGUUGUGUUCCUGUAAUGUAGUUCAUUAAGUUCAUAAAACUGUGGCUGGUUGACAUUAAUGUAACGUUCAGGAAACUUAAAUGUGAUUAAAACAGUAACGUUAAUGUUCUAGUUGUCAGUAAUCAGCUUUAAUUUGACACUAAAACAGACUCUGAUAGUUUUAAAUGACAUCAGUUUCAUUAAUUUGUUGAAAACUGUCUCAUUUGUUGUUGUGAUGUUGCUGCUGAUUCAUUAAAAGCAGAUGAUCCAUGUUGAAGAUACGUUUAGUUCUAGUAUCACAAGUACAAGAAGGAAAAUGGAAGUUUAGUUCUGCUACAUCAAAGAUUUCAGGAUUAAAACAACUAAAUGAGUCUUUAUGCCUCAAACUUUAUUUUUACAAUAAAGAAAUAAUGAAAUAAUCACAGAUAAUAAAAAUAUAAAUAGCAGAGAAAACCUGAGAGAAUAAUUUCCUGAAAAGCCUGUGAAGGAAAAGCAGCUUUUUUAUCCUGAAAGAUCAGAAUCAGCUCCAACAUCUGCAUCUGACAGCAUCAAGUGAACCACAAAGAAAAGAUAAAAGUGAAAAUGACUUCUUUCUGAUCACAUCUGUUCCGCUGCUCACAGGCUGCUGCUGCUCACAUUCUUCACAUUUAUAGUCCACUUUUAAAAGUUCAGCAGACAGGUGCUCUGCUUUGGAUUGUGACGAUGUCGUCGGUGAUGUGGAGAGUGAAGUUUCCGUUUCACCCACAGUUCUUUAGUGCAGCCGGGUCAGACUUAAUGUUUGAAAUACUGACCGACAGCUCAGAUUUAACUGUCUGUAGUUCCGUUUUGAUGGGUGUUAAACUUUCACUCAAAGCCACCAGGAGCUGGGUCUUUAAAAUAACUGCCGUCUCGUUACAGAGUGAAGGUAGCAGUUCUUCCUUAAGGUCAGAGAUUGCAGCAUCUGAGGGCCUCUUCAAAAGAAGACAUAGUUGAUGAAGGUGUUCUGGAGCAGAACCAGAAAGACCACGACCAAGCAGCCGUGAGAUCUUAGGCAGCGUCUCCCUCAGGUCCCUCUCUAUCUCCCCACACAUCCACCAACCACUGGAACACAUCUCCAAAGUUCUGCUGCCAGCUCAGCUUCCCCUCAGAAGAAGUGCUGCCACCUGCCAGAUGAAGGAGCCUUUUGAGAGGCAGCUGGCAUCGUGAUUGGACUGUACUUUGGUCUGUUCCAAUCCAGCUUCAGCUCCAGAGACGGCAGGCGGGACGAGUCAACGGAGGCCUGGUGGACGAAGGCAUGCAGCUGAGUACAAUCCAGAAAACAACAGAGGAGGAGUGCAGUGGCCCAGGGCCAGAACAAACAGAGUAGCAUCGUAUGUCUCUUAGAAAACAUCAUAGUAUAGCCUUUGGUAUGAAAAAACACCAUCAUAUACAUCGUAUAUUGUACAAAUAACAAGUCAAAGGAAAGAGACAUACAUUGUAGAAUUGUAGUAAUUGUGGGCUGACUGAUUUACUGAUUAUCAGUAUUUUGUUUUUUACCGAUUUACGGUAAUAAAUACAUUUAAAAAUGG